CCUACGGGUGGCAGCAGUAGGGAAUAUUGCUCAAUGGGGGAAACUCUGAAGCAGCAACGCCGCGUGGAGGAUGAAGGUUUUCUGAUUGUAAACUCCUUUUUUUAGAGAAGAUAAUGACGGUAUCUGCCUAAUACUCACCGUCUCACUCCGUUCCAGCCGCCGCGGUACUACGGAGGGUGCAAGCGUUACUCGGAAUCACUGGGCGUAAAGCGCGCGUAGGCGGGAUAGCAAGUCAGAUGUGAAAUCCUAUGGCUUAACCAUAGAACUGCAUUUGAAACUGUUAGGCUAGAGUAUGGGAGAGGUAGGUGGAAUUGUUGGUGUAGGGGUAAAAUCCGUAGAGAUCAAGAGGAAUACGCAUUGCGAAGGCGACCUGCUAGAACAUAACUGACGCUGAUGCGCGAAAGCGUGGGGAGCAAACAGGAUUAGAUACCCGGGUAGUC
This 440-nucleotide ribosomal RNA is filed under the name uncultured bacterium. RNAcentral's name for it is "partial 16S ribosomal RNA". It matches the Rfam family "Bacterial small subunit ribosomal RNA", at positions 338 to 795 of the family's 1533-position model. The record is from RNAcentral.